This 630-nucleotide ribosomal RNA is filed under the name Rhodosporidiobolus colostri. RNAcentral's name for it is "eukaryotic LSU rRNA". It matches the Rfam family "Eukaryotic large subunit ribosomal RNA", at positions 1 to 616 of the family's 3401-position model. Lineage: Eukaryota; Fungi; Basidiomycota; Microbotryomycetes; Sporidiobolales; Sporidiobolaceae. The record is from RNAcentral.
UAAUCUAGCUUAGUCUACCUUUAGAUUAGAUCUCAAAUCAGAUAGGAUUACCCGCUGAACUUAAGCAUAUCAAUAAGCGGAGGAAAAGAAACUAACAAGGAUUCCCCUAGUAGCGGCGAGCGAAGCGGGAAGAGCUCAAAUUUGUAAUCUGGCGCUUUCAGCGUCCGAGUUGUAAUCUCUAGAAAUGUUUUCCGCGUUGCACCGCACACAAGUCUGUUGGAAUACAGCGGCACAGUGGUGAGACCCCCGUUCAUGGUGCGGAUGCGCAAUGCUUUGUGAUACAUUUUCGAAGAGUCGAGUUGUUUGGGAAUGCAGCUCAAAUUGGGUGGUAAAUUCCAUCUAAAGCUAAAUAUUGGCGAGAGACCGAUAGCGAACAAGUACCGUGAGGGAAAGAUGAAAAGCACUUUGGAAAGAGAGUUAACAGUACGUGAAAUUGUUGGAAGGGAAACGCUUGAAGUCAGACUUGCUGUUCGGAGUUCAGCCGCAAGGUGUACUCUCCGAGUUGCAGGCCAGCAUCAGUUUUUCGGGGUGGAAAAUCACGGUUUGAAGGUAGCAGUUUCGGCUGUGUUAUAGCUUUCCGUUGGAUACAUCCUGGGGGACUGAGGAACGCAGUGUGCUUUUAGCAGGGGU